AUCCGCACAAGCGGUGGAUGAUGUGGAUUAAUUCGAUGCAACGCGAAAAACCUUACCUACCCUUGACAUGUCCGGAAUCCUGCAGAGAUGCGGGAGUGCCGAAAGGGAAUCGGAACACAGGUGCUGCAUGGCUGUCGUCAGCUCGUGUCGUGAGAUGUUGGGUUAAGUCCCGCAACGAGCGCAACCCUUAUCAUUAGUUGCUACGCAAGGGCACUCUAAUGAGACUGCCGGUGACAAACCGGAGGAAGUGGGGAUGACGUCAAGUCCUCAUGGCCCUUAUGGGUAGGGCUUCACACGUCAUACAAUGGUCGGUACAGAGGGUUGCCAAGCCGCGAGGUGGAGCCAAUCCCAGAAAGCCGAUCGUAGUCCGGAUUGUUCUCUGCAACUCGAGAGCAUGAAGUCGGAAUCGCUAGUAAUCGCGGAUCAGCAUGUCGCGGUGAAUACGUUCCCGGGUCUU
RNAcentral lists this ribosomal RNA (457 nucleotides) under uncultured Thiobacillus sp. Its description in RNAcentral is "bacterial SSU rRNA". It matches the Rfam family "Bacterial small subunit ribosomal RNA", at positions 919 to 1382 of the family's 1533-position model. The record is from RNAcentral. Lineage: Bacteria; Pseudomonadati; Pseudomonadota; Betaproteobacteria; Nitrosomonadales; Thiobacillaceae.